UAAGUGAUCCUUGCUUAUGAAUACUGGCAUUCAAUGUGAACUUUGUUUUAAUUAUUUAGAUAGACAACCAGAAGACUUUUCAGAGUAAUUGUUGUGAUAAAUUUUUUAGCAUGUGAUAGAUGAGAUUCAUUUUUAUUUUUUUAGUACUAAAAUUUGUAUCAAAUCCCUUAGAUUCAAGUAAUUCAAGCGAACUUGUUAUGGUCUAUCAUAACAGUUACCUAUUUUUUUUUUUAUCAUCAUCUGAAUACUUUCUUCUAAUUUUGAUUGUAAUGUUUCAGUAAUUUCAUAAAUAACAAGGUUAGCAUACUUAACUGAUGUUGGGUAUGGACUGACAGACCCCAUUAGAUUGCUUUGCCGGAGGUCAAUCCCUUGAAGUCGGUGAUAAUACAAAUAUGAUAUCUAACAGUGCAGAUCAUCAAAGGCGAAGGUGUGGCUGCUGUCUAUGAUAAUUUGUUGCAUGUAUUUUCCAUGUACUUUCAAGUUCUGGAUACUGGUUAUAUAUUGUUGCAUCAGGUGGUAGCACAUUUUCAGGAAUUUGGCUCAUCAGUGCCGCUGUCAAGUUAAUUAUCAUAAUUUGUCAUCGGAUGGUUAACUGCUUGUGACAGGCGGGUAUGAUAAAAAGGCGGGGGAUGCAUUCCCAUAGAGCUUGUGCGAAAACAGUUAGAAAACACCAUUAUUUGUGAAGUUAGUGAAUUUUAAAUUUUUUAUUCCCCUAAACACCAUGUGAAUGUUUCUUGA
RNAcentral lists this long non-coding RNA (738 nucleotides) under Daucus carota (carrot). RNAcentral's name for it is "long non-coding RNA (DCAR_LNC003680)". Lineage: Eukaryota; Viridiplantae; Streptophyta; Magnoliopsida; Apiales; Apiaceae. The record is from RNAcentral.